This 290-nucleotide long non-coding RNA is filed under the name Lupinus angustifolius (narrow-leaved blue lupine). RNAcentral describes it as "long non-coding RNA (LANG_LNC002134)". The record is from RNAcentral. Lineage: Eukaryota; Viridiplantae; Streptophyta; Magnoliopsida; Fabales; Fabaceae.
UUUAUAGCUUGUUCUUAAUUGUAAUAUUUGAACUAUUUUAUGCUUCACAUUACUCUGUUUUUGUUAUAUUUUUGUAACAAAGAAAGUCGUCUCUUGGUGUCGUACCACAAACGAGAUACAGAGAGCCUUCACCAAGACUUGAAGGUCUUGAGUUUAGAACGUACUCUUGGCUGGGGCUGGAUCGUAGGAAAUGUUUGCCUAGGCGAUAGGUAAGGUCAAACCAAGGUAGGGGUUCUGGGAAUUGAAGAAUGUAGCGUUCAAGGUCUUGUAAUUGGAAGUGUGUAUGUAAG